AGAGUUUGAUCCUGGCUCAGGACGAACGCUGGCGGCGCGCCUAACACAUGCAAGUCGAACGAGCGAGAGAGAGCUUGCUUUCUCAAGCGAGUGGCGAACGGGUGAGUAACGCGUGAGGAACCUGCCUCAAAGAGGGGGACAACAGUUGGAAACGACUGCUAAUACCGCAUAAGCCCACAGCUCGGCAUCGAGCAGAGGGAAAAGGAGCAAUCCGCUUUGAGAUGGCCUCGCGUCCGAUUAGCUAGUUGGUGAGGUAAUGGCCCACCAAGGCGACGAUCGGUAGCCGGACUGAGAGGUUGAACGGCCACAUUGGGACUGAGACACGGCCCAGACUCCUACGGGAGGCAGCAGUGGGGAAUAUUGCACAAUGGGGGAAACCCUGAUGCAGCGACGCCGCGUGGAGGAAGAAGGUCCUCGGAUUGUAAACUCCUGUUGUUGAGGAAGAUAAUGACGGUACUCAACAAAGAAGUGACGGCUAACUACGUGCCAGCAGCCGCGGUAAACCGUAGGUCACAAGCGUUGUCCGGAAUUACUGGGUGUAAAGGGAGCGCAGGCGGGAAGACAAGUUGGAAGUGAAAUCUAUGGGCUCAACCCAUAAACUGCUUUCAAAACUGUUUUUCUUGAGUAGUGCAGAGGUAGGCGGAAUUCCCGGUGUAGCGGUGGAAUGCGUAGAUAUCGGGAGGAACACCAGUGGCGAAGGCGGCCUACUGGGCACCAACUGACGCUGAGGCUCGAAAGUGUGGGUAGCAAACAGGAUUAGAUACCCUGGUAGUCCACACCGUAAACGAUGAUUACUAGGUGUUGGAGGAUUGACCCCUUCAGUGCCGCAGUUAACACAAUAAGUAAUCCACCUGGGGAGUACGACCGCAAGGUUGAAACUCAAAGGAAUUGACGGGGGCCCGCACAAGCAGUGGAGUAUGUGGUUUAAUUCGACGCAACGCGAAGAACCUUACCAAGUCUUGACAUCCUGCGACGCACAUAGAAAUAUGUGUUUCCUUCGGGACGCAGAGACAGGUGGUGCAUGGUUGUCGUCAGCUCGUGUCGUGAGAUGUUGGGUUAAGUCCCGCAACGAGCGCAACCCUUACUGUCAGUUACUACGCAAGAGGACUCUGGCAGGACUGCCGUUGACAAAACGGAGGAAGGUGGGGAUGACGUCAAAUCAUCAUGCCCUUUAUGACUUGGGCUACACACGUACUACAAUGGCGUUAAACAAAGAGAAGCAAGACCGCGAGGUGGAGCAAAACUCAGAAACAACGUCCCAGUUCGGACUGCAGGCUGCAACUCGCCUGCACGAAGUCGGAAUUGCUAGUAAUCGUGGAUCAGCAUGCCACGGUGAAUACGUUCCCGGGCCCAUUGUACACACGCGCCCGU
RNAcentral lists this ribosomal RNA (1371 nucleotides) under uncultured bacterium. Its description in RNAcentral is "16S ribosomal RNA". It matches the Rfam family "Bacterial small subunit ribosomal RNA". The record is from RNAcentral.